GAUGAACGCUGGCGGCGUGCCUAAUACAUGCAAGUCGAGCGAACGGACGAGAAGCUUGCUUCUCUGAUGUUAGCGGCGGACGGGUGAGUAACACGUGGAUAACCUACCUAUAAGACUGGGAUAACUUCGGGAAACCGGAGCUAAUACCGGAUGAUAUUUUGAACCGCAUGGUUCAAAAGUGAAAGACGGUCUUGCUGUCACUUAUAGAUGGAUCCGCGCUGCAUUAGCUAGUUGGUAAGGUAACGGCUUACCAAGGAAACGAUGCAUAGCCGACCUGAGAGGGUGAUCGGCCACACUGGAACUGAGACACGGUCCAGACUCCUACGGGAGGCAGCAGUAGGGAAUCUUCCGCAAUGGGCGAAAGCCUGACGGAGCAACGCCGCGUGAGUGAUGUAGGUCUUCGGAUCGUAAAACUCUGUUAUUAGGGAAGAACAUAUGUGUAAGUAACUGUGCACAUCUUGACGGUACCUAAUCAGAAAGCCACGGCUAACUACGUG
Molecule: ribosomal RNA, 497 nt
Filed under: uncultured bacterium
Lineage: Bacteria
Description: partial 16S ribosomal RNA
Rfam family: Bacterial small subunit ribosomal RNA
Source: RNAcentral